CAGUCGCCACGGUAAUACGUAGGUCCCGAGCGUUGUCCGGAUUUAUUGGGCGUAAAGUGAGCGCAGGCGGUUAGAUAAGUCUGAAGUUAAAGGCUGUGGCUUAACCAUAGUACGCUUUGGAAACUGUUUAACUUGAGUGCAAGAGGGGAGAGUGGAAUUCCAUGUGUAGCGGUGAAAUGCGUAGAUAUAUGGAGGAACACCGGUGGCGAAAGCGGCUCUCUGGCUUGUAACUGACGCUGAGGCUCGAAAGCGUGGGGCGCAAACAGGAUUAGAUACCCCUGUAGUCCCUGUCUCUUAUACA
This 301-nucleotide ribosomal RNA is filed under the name uncultured bacterium. Its description in RNAcentral is "partial 16S ribosomal RNA". It matches the Rfam family "Bacterial small subunit ribosomal RNA", at positions 509 to 808 of the family's 1533-position model. The record is from RNAcentral.